Molecule: long non-coding RNA, 1291 nt
Organism: Myxocyprinus asiaticus (Chinese sucker)
Lineage: Eukaryota; Metazoa; Chordata; Actinopteri; Cypriniformes; Catostomidae
Exons: 5
Source: RefSeq, a predicted model, not a curated record
UGUACGCCUCCUAACCCUCCUGGAGGAAAUCAAGGAGACGCAGAGGGUUCAUGGGAAGAUGAUACAAUCACUCCUCACACAACGUGAUGCAACCACUGUUGCAACACUACCCGAGGAUGUCGUUUCCCCCCUAAAAACGGUCUUGGAUAUUGAAGCAAUGGAGCGGAAAUUGACAGACCCCAACUUCCACAAAGAAGUGGAACUGCAAUUUCAAGUUUGAAGUCAUUUGGGUUGCCGUGGUGGCAGAUAUUGGAGGGAGUACCGUGGAUGAAACCACUUGGAGAAUGAUGGCCUUCCUUUUGGACCACCCCUUAUCAAGAGAGUACAAUUUUGUUGGGCGCCAUGGAAAGCGAGAAUUCCGGGGACUCAAACUGUUUGAGCUUUUAUACAGCAGCUUGAAAAAAAAAUGUCCUUACAAACCAUAUAAAUAGAAAAGAUGCUGAAAAGGCAGUGUCGAAGUGGCUAACUGGUGCCAGGGACAGGGGAGGAAACCAUACUGCAAGGGCACAUGCUGGAGAGCAAGAUGGGUGGCCGUUGGGAGGGUGAGGACGGAGGAGUGAGGAGCUGCACUGCGGUUUUGUUUUAUUCAGAUUAUUUUUUUUUAUAUAUGUUAUUUUUCAGAGUUUUUAACAACUUUAGAACAUAAUUAACUUUUAAGUCAUGUUAAGUUAUUAAGUCUGUUAUGCAAGUUAUGUACCAAUUAUUCCCACAAAAGCCUUGCUUACUAAAGGAAAGCAUUAACUACUGGACUCUCUUCAUUGAAGCAAUACAUUUUACAUUUUAGUGUACUUAAGUUGGUUAAAUGUAAUAUUUGUAUUUUGGGGUUUACUGUAAAAUAAGGUAACCCAAGCAGACAAAUAUGGUAACCCAUUUAUAUACCUGUUGUGGCCCAUAAGAGCAAUAGAUAAGACCUAGCUGGGUCCCAUCAUCAACCCAUGUAGGCAGACUCCUGUAGGCUCCAAAUGGGAGAAACCUGGGUAACCCAUAUGGGCCCUAUAUGGAGCCCAUUAAGGGCCCAUCAUCAACCCACUUGGGCUAACUCAUGUGGGGCCUCCAUGGAAACUGAGGACAAAAUUGACUGGGCCCCAGUUUGGUAGCCAGGUGGGCCCCAAAUAUCAGCCCAAGUGCAACCCAUUUGGGCCCCACAUGGGAGUGCUGGCAAGGGAUAAAUGGUAAACCUUACUGCUUACUUUUUUUUUUUUUUUUUUUUCUUUUUUUUUUAAUAAUUAGGGGCGAAUUCCAAUUGAAAGUGAUACUCCUUAUGUCUUACUCAUUCCGAAGGACAGAGCUA